UAAUACGUAGGUGGCAAGCGUUGUCCGGAUUUAUUGGGUUUAAAGGGUGCGUAGGUUGUUUAGUAAGUCAGUGGUGAAAUCCGGCAGCUUAACUGUCGAUGUGCCAUUGAUACUGCUGAACUUGAGUACAGACGAGGUAGGCGGAAUUGACGGUGUAGCGGUGAAAUGCUUAGAUAUCGUCAAGAACACCGAUAGCGAAGGCAGCUUACUAGACUGUAACUGACACUGAUGCACGAAAGUGUGGGGAUCAAACAGGAUUAGAUACCCUGGUAGUCCACACUGUAAACGAUGAUUACUCGAUGUUGGCGAUACACGGCCAGCGUCUUAGCAAAAGCGAUAAGUAAUCCACCUGGGGAGUACGCCCGCAAGGGUGAAACUCAAAUGAAUUGACGG
This 393-nucleotide ribosomal RNA is filed under the name uncultured bacterium. RNAcentral's name for it is "bacterial SSU rRNA". It matches the Rfam family "Bacterial small subunit ribosomal RNA", at positions 521 to 916 of the family's 1533-position model. The record is from RNAcentral.